AUUGAACGCUGGCGGCAUGCCUUACACAUGCAAGUCGAACGGCAGCGCGGGGCAACCUGGCGGCGAGUGGCGAACGGGUGAGUAAUAUAUCGGAACAUACCCUAGAGUGGGGAUAACGUAGUGAAGUUACGCUAAUACCGCAUACGCACUAAGGUGGAAAGUGGGGGAUUCGCAAGAACCUCAUGCUCAUGGAGUGGCCGAUAUCUGAUUAGCUAGUUGGUGAGGUAAAGGCUCACCAAGGCGACGAUCAGUGGCUGGUUUGAGAGAACGACCAGCCACACUGGAACUGAGACACGGUCCAGACUCCUACGGGAGGCAGCAGUGGGGAAUUUUGGACAAUGGGGGCAACCCUGAUCCAGCAAUGCCGCGUGAGUGAAGAAGGCCUCGGUUGUAAGCUCUUUGUCUAGGGAGAAACGGUAGA
RNAcentral lists this ribosomal RNA (421 nucleotides) under uncultured bacterium. RNAcentral's name for it is "bacterial SSU rRNA". It matches the Rfam family "Bacterial small subunit ribosomal RNA", at positions 30 to 456 of the family's 1533-position model. The record is from RNAcentral.